This is a long non-coding RNA of Cyanistes caeruleus (blue tit), 1538 nucleotides long. RefSeq lists it as uncharacterized. The record is from RefSeq and is a predicted model, not a curated record. Lineage: Eukaryota; Metazoa; Chordata; Aves; Passeriformes; Paridae.
GGGCCGGAGAAGCUGAAGGCGGCGUAGCCUCUGCCCUGCCCUCGUUUCCUGACCCAGGGAAAUUACAACCGGCUGGUGAACGAUUGCCGCCCGCACCACCGACUGAGAGCUCCGCCACUCGGCGGCUGCUGUAGUGCUCAGGCAACAAUUUUAUGUAAAAACCCAGCACGCCCCGUCCAGAAUUUACCCUGGGCUGGUGCUGAGGCAGGCCCGGCUAGGGUGAGCUCACUGAGCAGGUAAACUGGAGAGAGAGAAACAAGAGCUGUGAAAAUGAGAAAACUUGCCGAGGAGUGUAGCAUCAUCAAUCAGCUGCUAAUCUGCCAACAGUUCAUCUCGAGGCUCAGAUUAGUGUCCUUUCACUAAUGCCAAACAGUAAACAUUAUUUACACAUUCUGGAGCAACUUACUGCAAGAAUGGUCUUUUAGAAGUAAAUUUGAAAGUGGAUCCUUCAGUUGACAGAGCACGUCCUGCAGCAUAGCAACACCACCAAUCUGUAUGAAAAUCCAUGGACUGACAAGUUCUGGAUCAAGCCCUUGAGGUAUAUAUUAGAAAAACACUCUUUUGGUCAUCUGUAUUAGCAUAGCAUCUCCAGUGGCAGCUGGGAGCAGGGUUGUGUGAUGCUGGAGAUUGAAUAACCUUUCAAUAGGAAUGAUAUUUUUGUUCUUAAGAUGUAGAGAAAUUGAAAUCAAAGUGUGAGUAACAUGUGAUACUAACACCAGAGGCACCACAGACUGUAGAAAUGACACAGUAAUAACCACACAGAUUAACAGCUACCGUAACAGUCCUACAUCAGACCUGCACUGUCAGCCCCUAGAGCUAGACCACACCCAAAGUUUUAUCCCAGCUGACAGCCCCAACUGGUGAGACUAAGCUGUUGUGAGAGAUAAUCUAUUUGUUGUUAUCUCUUGCACAAUCUGUGAGAGAUCCUCUGUUUGUUAUCUCUUUUGCACCAUCCCAGUUCCCAGCCUCAGAGGCAGAGGGUGUACAGAGGUCCUUCCCACUCCUAUGCUUAUGCCACAAUAGCCCCAGGCAGUGCUACAGACCUGGGGAAGGGUGGCUGGAAAGCUGUUCAGGGGAAAAAGACCUGGGGGUGCUGGUCAUCAGCUGGCUGAACGUGCGCCAGGGGAUAUUCAGCUUGGAUAUCAGGAGGAUAUGCAACCCUUUGGGGUUGUUAGACAUUGGAAUGCGCUGCCCAGGGAGGUGCUAAAGUCACCAUCCCUGGAGAUGUUCAAGAAGUGACUCGUGGCAUUCAGUGUCAUGGUCUAGUUGACAUGGUGUUGUUUGUUCAAAGGUUGAACUUGAUGAUUGCAGGUCUUUUCCAACCUAAAUGGUUCUUUGAUUCUCUGAUUCUGUAAACAUGGCAGUGAAACUUGGUGGAACCUAGAAUAGUGGCCUGGGAUAGGUAUUGUUCAAUAAUACGCCUUCAGCAUGCUGAUAUUUGGUUUUCCUGUGACAAAUUAACUGAUAGUAAAUUUUUUUUUUUUGCUUCCAGUAGUUCUGCCAUUCCUGACAAUCUUGUACACUGUAUAGGCUGAAUC